GCCUCUGUAGCUCUGUUGGUUAGAGUGCUGCACUGGAAUUGCAGAGCCGUAGGUUCAAUUCGUACCAGAGGGC
RNAcentral lists this transfer RNA (73 nucleotides) under Paramuricea clavata. It matches the Rfam family "tRNA". Rfam says of the family: Transfer RNA (tRNA) molecules are approximately 80 nucleotides in length. Their secondary structure includes four short double-helical elements and three loops (D, anti-codon, and T loops). The record is from Rfam by way of RNAcentral. Lineage: Eukaryota; Metazoa; Cnidaria; Anthozoa; Malacalcyonacea; Plexauridae.